AUGAGGUUCCCUGCUCAGCUCCUGGGGCUGCUCAUGCUCUGGAUCCCUGGAACCAGUGGGGAUGUUGUGAUGACCCAGACUCCCCUCUCCCUCUCCGUCAUCUCUGGAGAGCCCGUCUCCAUCUCCUGCAGGGCUAGUCAGAGCAUCCUACAUAGUAAUGGAAACACCUAUUUGAAUUGGUUUCUACAGAAGCCAGGCCAGGCUCCACAGCUCCUGAUCUAUUUGGUUUCCAACCGGGCUUCUGGGGUCCCAGACAAGUUCAGUGGCAGUGGGUCAGGGACAGAUUUCACACUGAAGAUCAGCAGGGUGGAGGCUGAGGACAUUGGAGUAUAUUACUGCAUGCAAGCUACACAUUAUCCACCCACAGUGGUACAGCCCCGAACACAAACCUCUCUGCUUGGCUUGGGCCCAGUUGCCCACAUGUGUGGCUUGUCUGGGGAGCAGCCCAGCACAUUUUCUGUCUCUAAAAGAGGAAGACAUUGGAGUACUCAGGGGAAUAGUUUGGUGCUGGGGGCUGUAGGUCAUGAAACCCUCAGGCUCACCUCAGGAACCACCUGUUGA
Molecule: non-coding RNA, 561 nt
Organism: Cynocephalus volans (Philippine flying lemur)
Lineage: Eukaryota; Metazoa; Chordata; Mammalia; Dermoptera; Cynocephalidae
Source: the annotation of a RefSeq genome assembly